AUUGAACGCUGGCGGCAUGCCUUACACAUGCAAGUCGAACGGUAACGCGGGGCAACCUGGCGACGAGUGGCGAACGGGUGAGUAACGCAUCGGAACGUGCCCAAUCGUGGGGGAUAACGUAGAGAAAUUUACGCUAAUACCGCAUGAGAUCUAAGGAUGAAAGCAGGGGAUCGCAAGACCUUGCGCGAUUGGAGCGGCUGAUGUCAGAUUAGGUAGUUGGUGGGGUAAAGGCCCACCAAGCCGAAGAUCUGUAGCUGUUUUAAGAGAACGCCCAGCCACACGGGGACUGAGACACGGCACAGACUCCUACGGGAGGAAGCAGGGGGGAAUUUUGGACAAUGGGCGAAAGCCUGAUCCAGCAAUGCCGCGUGCAGGAAGAAGGCCUUCGGGUUGUAAACUGCUUUUGUACGGAACGAAAUAGCUCUGGUUAAUACCCGGAGUUGAUGACGGUACCGUAAGAAUAAGCACCGGCUAACUACGUGCCAGCCGCCGCCGUAA
This 498-nucleotide ribosomal RNA is filed under the name uncultured bacterium. Its description in RNAcentral is "partial 16S ribosomal RNA". It matches the Rfam family "Bacterial small subunit ribosomal RNA", at positions 30 to 523 of the family's 1533-position model. The record is from RNAcentral.